RNAcentral lists this long non-coding RNA (709 nucleotides) under Olea europaea subsp. europaea. The record is from RNAcentral. Lineage: Eukaryota; Viridiplantae; Streptophyta; Magnoliopsida; Lamiales; Oleaceae.
GCACCAUUGUCGACCAAAAAUUGUCAACCACCACACCAUCGCUUGCAUAGCACCACAACUACUGUCAAAAACUGCAAACAUAACCAACAAAAAUCAGCCCAAAAAACUUUGGCACCACCAGAUCGAACUGUGCAGUCACAUCGCCACACCACACUUUUACCUCGAACAACACCACACCCCACCAUACCGCCCCAAAAACUUAGGUGCCACCAAAUCGAACUCACACAACCGCAUCGCCAAUUACAGCACACCACUACCUAGAUUCGCCACAACAUAUCACACCGUACCUAUCCAAUCCAACGUCGAUCUCGCCUUUGAGUCGUAACGCCACCGUUCACAACAGCAUUGGGCGGCAAAAGCUGAGCAGAGAAUAAGCACACUCACACUCGUCUCCAUCGUUGUCUUGAGCAAAGGAGACGCGGUGAUCACACCCCCAGGAAUCGUCGUGAUCUGUGUACCGAAGAACCCACAGAUCUGCACACAGAGGCGCUACGAUGGAGUUACGUGAAGAGACGUCUGCAUCGAUAUCAUGCCUCAACGCCAACGAUACCAUGUUGCUUGAGAAGAGAGAGAUGAACCGACGGCAGACGGUAUAGAGAGGGAAUGGUGAAAACGGAUGAAAAUCUAGGGUUUGGGGUGUUGAGGUGCAGUGGGUUAAUUAUAAUACUUAAUUUGUGAUUAAUUAAACUUUGCACCUGAUUAUUGAAAA